Molecule: ribosomal RNA, 440 nt
Filed under: uncultured bacterium
Lineage: Bacteria
Description: partial 16S ribosomal RNA
Rfam family: Bacterial small subunit ribosomal RNA
Source: RNAcentral
CCUACGGGUGGCAGCAGUGGGGGAUAUUGCACAAUGGGGGAAACCCUGACGCAGCGACGCCGCGUGAGUGAAGAAGUUUUUCGGUAUGUAAAGCUCUAUCAGCAGGGAAGAAAAUGACAGUACCUGCCCAAGAAGCACCGGCUAACUACGUCACAGCAGCCGCGGUAAUACGCAGGGGGCAAGCGUUAUCAGGAUUUACUGGGUGUAAAGGGAGCGUAGUCGGUUAUGUAAGUCUGGAGUGAAAGCCCGGGGCUCAACCCCGGGACUGCUUUUGAAACUGUGUGACUGGAGUACAGGAGGGGCAGGCGGAAUUCGUGGUGUAGCGGUGAAAUGCGUAGAUAUCAGGAGGAACACCGGUGGCGAAGGCGGCUUGCUGGACUGCAACUGACGUUGAGGCUCGAAAGCGUGGGGAGCAAACAGGAUUAGAUACCCCGGUAGUC